RNAcentral lists this unclassified non-coding RNA (206 nucleotides) under plant metagenome. Its description in RNAcentral is "partial contains small subunit ribosomal RNA, internal transcribed spacer 1, and 5.8S ribosomal RNA". The record is from RNAcentral.
UUUCCGUAGGUGAACCUGCGGAAGGAUCAUUCAUAAUAAGUGUUUUACUGCGCUUUUUAAAAAUAGUACUCACCUUGCGUGCAAUGUUGUGUUUCUUUUCGGAGAAACACCUACACCAACCUAUAACCUUGAACCACUUUGUCUGAAAAACUAUUAUGAAUACUUAAUUCAAAAUACAACUUUCAACAACGGAUCUCUUGGCUCUC